UGGGGAAUAUUGGACAAUGGGCGCAAGCCUGAUCCAGCCAUGCCGCGUGAGUGACGAAGGCCUUAGGGUUGUAAAGCUCUUUUGGCGGGGAAGAUAAUGACGGUACCCGCAGAAUAAGCUCCGGCUAACUUCGUGCCAGCAGCCGCGGUAAUACGAAGGGAGCUAGCGUUGUUCGGAAUCACUGGGCGUAAAGCGCACGUAGGCGGAUGUGUCAGUCAGGGGUGAAAUCCCGGAGCUCAACUUCGGAACUGCCCUUGAUACAGCACGUCUUGAGUCCGAUAGAGGUGGGUGGAAUUCCUAGUGUAGAGGUGAAAUUCGUAGAUAUUAGGAAGAACACCGGUGCGAAGGCGGCCACUGGAUCGGUACUGACGCUGAGGUGCGAAAGCGUGGGGAGCAAACAGGAUUAGAUACCCCGGUAGUCCCUGAGCGGGCUGGCAAGGCGCAU
Molecule: ribosomal RNA, 445 nt
Filed under: uncultured bacterium
Lineage: Bacteria
Description: bacterial SSU rRNA
Rfam family: Bacterial small subunit ribosomal RNA
Source: RNAcentral